Molecule: long non-coding RNA, 1790 nt
Organism: Felis catus (domestic cat)
Lineage: Eukaryota; Metazoa; Chordata; Mammalia; Carnivora; Felidae
Exons: 3
Source: RefSeq, a predicted model, not a curated record
AUGACAACAAAUGUCAUAUGAUCACCAACUGAGCCAAUGUUUCUCCCUCUCCCCCUGCCUCUCUCGCUGUGGGACUGUGGGUGAUCACCAAUGCAAUGUCACAUUUCUGCAAAAUCCUCAAAAGGAGGCAAAAGCAAGUGUCAUUGGCCAGGUUCCUUGUUCAAGCUGCACUAAAAGGAAAAGAUUCCACUGAGCGAUAGAUAGCAGUGAUUCCAUUAGUGAUAGUGAAAGUCGUGCUACACAAUUACCCUCUUCUCUCGUCUCCCUCAUACCAGCCACGAAGGCUUUCAAAGGUGUUUGGGAUAUGGAGAUGAGGAAGACUCUAAUGUGUGUGGAAGAAAGAAGAGUGAGCAAACCAUCCUCUGUCUCCUCCAGCUCAAGGUUCCAUUUUGCACACCAAGAAGGCAAGGCUCACGGUUUAGGAAUCUUUUCCAAGAUGAUGAAGCAAUGGAGGUGGGAGGGUGGCCAAGAUAAUAGGCUUCUGAAGGAUUUGUGCACCAGCACCCCGAUCUUUCUACUGCUCGAGUGAAAGAAAAAAGAAAUUGUUCACUGAAGUUUUUCUGUUGAGAAGACUUUGUUAUCCUGUGUCUCUGGAAGAAAAAAAGUAAGAUCUCGUUCUGUUUCUCCAUUCCCCAAUGUCUUCCUCUUUGGAAAUCAAAGCUAAAGGAAAAAAAAAAUAGUCUGUAUGCAAGACGCCCGAGUUGGAUUCCUGUGUAUCUGUGGCCGGAAACCCACUAAGAAAAAUACUGCCUUCUAAUCCCUCUGUGACGUGUCCCCUGGAAGGGGCUUAGUGCCCUUCCGGAUCCCUGUCAUCCCGCGAGGCCAGGCUCCGGGGCGUCCUGCCCUGAGAGCAGCUGUGCUCUGACAGGAGCGGCCGGCAGCGAAGGGGCGGCCGGGCAGGUGCGAGGAGGCGCACGUCUGGAAGGGGGCUGAGGGUCUCCCACGCGGCGUCUCUGCUCUGCCGCGUCUGCAACGGUUCUGGUAGUUUCCUCAGCCCGGAGUACCGGCACCCUCCUCCUCGUCCUCACAGACUCACAUUUCACAGACCAGGCCCAACGUGGCCCCUCGUGUAUCCUGCUCUGACCUCUCCAGGCAGAAUAAAGUGCUCCCUCUACUGUGCUCUCUGUCCAGCACCUGCCCCUCCAGAGUGUGGUAACCAGGGCUAGGGGAGGGGCGCAGGGGGCUCGUCGCCCCUGCAAGACUGAGCUUCUGAGGUUGGGGGUUAUUUCCUCCCCGUGUCUUACUCCUCAUGACUCCGCACAUGGUGCACACGUAGGUCACUUCAUUUCUCUUUAGAACGAGAGGUAAAUCGGCCCCUGCUGUGGCUUCCUUCUUACUGAAAGACCCACGAGCAAAGGGGAUCAGAACAAGCGUGUGAGGCAAAAGGCUGAGUCGGUAGAGGGCCCUGACUGCCGUGUUUUCCCACUUUGACCAGUAUGGCUUAUCCUCUGUCUUCCACUCAAACCUCGGGCACAGAGCAAUGCAUGGAAAUAGGCUGCAAAGGCAUCUGAGAGCUGAAAGGCAUCUCAGAGCCUGGCUGGGAUCCUGGUUCCAUCUCCCAGGCCUACGACUGGGGGCAAGGCCUCCUCCGAAAAUGGCAACAGCGUACGCAACCAUCAGAAAUAAUAUUCAGGGAAGCUACAAAGACCAAUGGGAAGACUCACAAUAGCAAGCAAAUAAAAAAAGAACAGGAGUGUUUAUACGUUUUGAUUGAAGUUAUAUAAAAAUACAUCUGUACCUGCACAAUAACUAGAAGGUAAUAUACAAAUAAAAACAAUUACAAUACUCAA